This 793-nucleotide ribosomal RNA is filed under the name uncultured archaeon. RNAcentral's name for it is "bacterial SSU rRNA". It matches the Rfam family "Archaeal small subunit ribosomal RNA", at positions 85 to 879 of the family's 1478-position model. The record is from RNAcentral.
ACGGCUCAGUAACACGUGGACAACCUGCCCUUAGGUUGGGUAUAAACCCGGGAAACUGGGUAUAAUACCCGAUAGGUCUCGAUUGCUGGAAUGCAUCGAGAUUUAAAGCUCCGGCGCCUAAGGAUGGGUCUGCGGCCUAUCAGGUAGUAGUGGGUGUAGCGUACCUACUAGCCUACGACGGGUACGGGUUGUGAGAGCAAGAGCCCGGAGAUGGAUUCUGAGACACGAAUCCAGGCCCUACGGGGUGCAGCAGGCGCGAAAACUUUACAAUGCUGGCAACAGCGAUAAGGGAACCUCGAGUGCCAGGUUACAAAUCUGGCUGUCGAGAUGCCUAAAAAGCAUUUCAUAGCAAGGGCCGGGCAAGACCGGUGCCAGCCGCCGCGGUAACACCGGCGGCUCGAGUGGUAACCGUUAUUAUUGGGUCUAAAGGGUCUGUAGCCGGCCGGAUAAGUCUCUUGAGAAAUCUGGCAGCUUAACUGUCAGGCUUUCAGGAGAUACUGUCUGGCUCGAGGCCGGGAGAGGUGAGAGGUACUUCAGGGGUAGGGGUGAAAUCUUGUAAUCCUUGAAGGACCACCAGUGGCGAAGGCGUCUCACCAGAACGGACCUGACGGCAAGGGACGAAAGCUAGGGGCACGAACCGGAUUAGAUACCCGGGUAGUCCUAGCCGUAAACGAUACUCGCUAGGCGUCGGCCACGGUGCGACCGUUGUCGGUGCCGUAGGGAAGCCGUGAAGCGAGCCACCUGGGAAGUACGGCCGCAAGGCUGAAACUUAAAGGAAUUGGCGGGGGAGCAC